AGAAAGACAAACUCUGAUUUUUCGUGUUCAAUGUUUGACUGUCCGUUUUAUAUAAUUUUUUUUAUAAUUAGUAUUUUCAUUGUUGUUAGAUGAUAAAACAUGAUUAAUACUUUAUGCGUGACUUGUCUUUUUAAAAAAAAUUAUAAUUUUUUCAAAUAAGAUGGACGGUUAAACGUUGGACACGGAAACUCAGGGUUUGCCUUUUU
RNAcentral lists this microRNA precursor (206 nucleotides) under Oryza barthii. RNAcentral describes it as "MIR812 microRNA precursor family". It matches the Rfam family "MIR812 microRNA precursor family". The record is from Rfam by way of RNAcentral. Lineage: Eukaryota; Viridiplantae; Streptophyta; Magnoliopsida; Poales; Poaceae.